This is a non-coding RNA of Cyanistes caeruleus (blue tit), 958 nucleotides long. The record is from RefSeq and is a predicted model, not a curated record. Lineage: Eukaryota; Metazoa; Chordata; Aves; Passeriformes; Paridae.
UUUCCUGUAACUCAUAAAGAGAAAAAUAGGAAAGCAACAAUGCACUGGGGCAUUUUAUUAGGAAAUUGAGAGCCACAUUCACUAGUUCCUCAAGAUAGCUUUUCUUCUUCCCUCUGUGUUUUUGUUUUUCAGAAUUGCAUUGCUUUGGUACCAUCUCACUUCUGCAAAAGGCAAUUUUGUUAAAUGUAUCCCCAAAUGCACUGAUGAAGUUAUAACUGCUUGGCAAAGGCUUGGAGACAAAGAUACUGCUGUGAAAAAUGAGUCUUGUCAAAAGAAAACUGAUUUGUGAGUACAAAAUGUGGACAACAUGGUCAAUGUUGUACUAUCCAUUUGUCUCCCACUUUCAGGUAUAUCCACUAAUCUGAGGUAGUUUUUACAUAUCAGGAGCAUCAAUACACACCCUGUCCACCCUUCUUCACUGUCAAACAAUAUCAGAAUAGAGAUUUUUCCAUCUCUUAGCACUGUGGCUUUUGAUCAGUGUAACUGGAUAUCCUGGGGCUUUGUGGCUGGCACUCUGGGAUUUGGACACUUUGUUCCUCUUUGUGCAUCUGUACCUGUCUACAAAACGAGAGAAAAGCACAGUCUAGUCUUGAAAGAGAUAUUAUGAGGAGACACAUGUUAAAAGACUGUGAGUUUUAGGCUAAGCAGUCAAGGAUUUAGUAGAUGAAGUAUGGAUUUGCUACAGACUGUUUCUAAGAGAAGGCGUAUCUUGUUCCAGGCUAGUAGUUGUGUGGCAUUUUGGCACAUAAGUGGAAAGCUGUUGCACCCAGUGUCUGCUAGGAGAUCAUAUUAUUUCCUUCUCUCGACUCGUAAUGCAUUUACCCUGCCUUUGAUUUAUGUAGCCAGGAACAAGAAGUGAAGCACUUACACAGGGGAGAUAGGCAGCUGCUAAGACCUAGGGGGGAUGCUGUCUACCCUUGUUGCCACCAAUGGAAGCAUAAAGCGGUGACUUUGCAAG